GCUCUAAAUGAGAACAACGCUCCCAAAUCUCAAGAGAAGAAAAUGAAAACCGGGCAGCUCAUCACCAUGCCAAACUUUUAGACAUUAGCUAUAUAUAUAAGUAGUUCUGGAUUCUGAUUCCACAAUGUUUACACUAUUCUUAACUCCAUACUCUUAUUAAUCAUAUAUAGUUCCAUUCUUUUAACCUCCUUCCUAGGUACUCUUACCAAAUGUCUCACUUUGGGCAUUUAACCACAAUUGGCAAAGCCAUCCAAAUUCUCAUUAAAUGCAAAAGAAUCAGCAAUACUGAAAAUGCAUUCCUGUAGAUAACCAAGCAACCCAAACAUGCAGACGACCAAUAAAUUGUUUCUUAAAAUAGUUACAGACUUUCCCGCAAUGACCUUAAAUCAAAUGCAGAUACCAUACGAGAUUAUCAAUUUCAUUGAAGGAAAUAUGAUCAAUGUGGGUAUCAUUUCCUCUCAACCCAGAACUCAACCACCUCUUGCUACCCAAGAUAUCAACAAUCUAAUUGUCAGAAUCUCAAAUAAAUGACGACUGUGCAGGUUUCCAAUAAGAGUGCUAAUGGACCAGGCAGGCUUGAUCCACCAAAAGACCCAAUCUGAAAAAUUUGAGCUUGGGGCCAAGAUUCAAAAGGCUUAUGGCUGAGCUUGGGACUGAAAAUUAAGGCUUGAAAGUUUUGCAUCCAAAUGCUAAACAUAUUUUCACUCUCAAACAAACCCUAUAAAUAGCCCUAGCAGAUCUCAUGUUGAAAAUAAUACUAACAAGGGUGUUAUUGCCGAUCCUCGAACCACUUAUGUGGAUCGCCUCUGUGGAUCUGCAAGACAGUAGCUUGGGACUGUUGGUGGGAAAGCGGAUGAAAAGCCAUGCCACAUAGAAGGAGAAACCUCCCUGACAUGUCUCCCAUUACGUCCCAUGGUUCCCAGAGGGAAUCCAACCUCCCCAAUCACGAUUGUCAACACCACUGUUGUCGUCGUCGUUCCGAGCGCCGGUGACUAUCAAGCAAUUCAACUGGCUCAAGUAGCAAGUCUAGGCCUUGACCGACUUGGUUAGGGGUCUGGUCCCGGAAUGGAGGGAAUCUACAUCAACAAUCCGAGGAUCGGCAACAAGAAAGGGUACAUAAAUAUCAUUCUAUAUGUAAAACCCUAAAGCAAAACCUAAUAUGAAAAGACCUCUUAUCUCCCUCCGUCUCCCUCUCUAACUCUACAACAGUCCAUUCUCCCACAAAGCACCAUUCAUUUCUCUCUAGACAUUACAUGAAGACUCAAAGAGGUGCAUGCAUGGAUACACCAACUCCCCAUGGUUUCUUUUGGAUCCAAAAAU
Molecule: long non-coding RNA, 1320 nt
Filed under: Phoenix dactylifera (date palm)
Lineage: Eukaryota; Viridiplantae; Streptophyta; Magnoliopsida; Arecales; Arecaceae
Description: long non-coding RNA (PDAC_LNC015034)
Source: RNAcentral